GCGGAGACAUGAGAGGAGCCGACAGGGGCUAGGGGUCUGCGAGCUAUUUGUACACCGAAUGGAAAACGCGCCAAAGACUCGCCUCCAGACGAGAGGAACCACGCUGGACCACGGGAACGGGACUAGCUGGUUGACUGUUCGUCGCCGACGACUGCAUCAUGAUCGACUGUACAGUGAGAACCGGUGACGUGGUUGCCACGGGGGUCACGGUGUCCGAAUGGUGAUGAUGAUGAUGGUACAGAGCCGACGCGUAAUACUGCUGAUGAUGGUGAUGGUGGUGCGGAUGAUGCGCACAAUGGCGACGUUGGCGAUGGAGACGACUGCGAAUUGAUCAAGUUGCAGCUGGUGGCGAGGAUGUCGUGAACCGUGUGAGAACUCGGCCACUGUAGACCGACGGAAGUAGCCGUCUGAUGGCCGACACCGGGAUGAAUAGCGGUCGGGGAAGACGGUGACAGCUUGCCCGGCGUCGUCGGCCCAACUGGAAACGCACCGGUACCAAAUUGGUAUGGAGAGGUUCGUUCGAAUUCGAUUAUUCAGCGCUCGUAUCAGGAUGGAAGAAAGAGACGCGACUGUUGCCUGAUAUCCCGCGAGCUCGCUGCUAGAACUGAACGCACACUUCAAGUUGCGCUGGUGGAGAACGAAGUUUUCUUUUUUUGGACAGCGGGCGGCGGCGUUGCGUGAUAAGGCGUCGGCGGAUACGGGACAGGACAAAGGGCGGCUCCAGCCGCGGCCGCGG
This is a long non-coding RNA of Bombus impatiens (common eastern bumble bee), 736 nucleotides long. RefSeq lists it as uncharacterized. The record is from RefSeq and is a predicted model, not a curated record. NCBI's taxonomy places the organism in Eukaryota, Metazoa, Arthropoda, Insecta, Hymenoptera, Apidae. The transcript has 4 exons.